RNAcentral lists this ribosomal RNA (321 nucleotides) under uncultured Prevotella sp. RNAcentral's name for it is "bacterial SSU rRNA". It matches the Rfam family "Bacterial small subunit ribosomal RNA", at positions 28 to 339 of the family's 1533-position model. The record is from RNAcentral. Lineage: Bacteria; Pseudomonadati; Bacteroidota; Bacteroidia; Bacteroidales; Prevotellaceae.
GAUGAACGCUAGCUACAGGCUUAACACAUGCAAGUCGAGGGGCAUCAUUAUCGAAGCUUGCUUUGAUAGAUGGCGACCGGCGCACGGGUGCGUAACGCGUAUCCAACCUUCCCCCUGCCAGGGAACAGCCCGUUGAAAGACGGAUUAAUGCCCUAUGUUGUGCGAAGAUGGCAUCAGAUUUGCACGAAAGAUUUUAUCGGCAUGGGAUGGGGAUGCGUAGGAUUAGGUAGUCGGCGGGGUAACGGCCCACCGAGCCGUCGAUCCUUAGGGGUUCUGAGAGGAAGGUCCCCCACACUGGUACUGAGACACGGACCAGACUCC